ACUCAAAUGAAUUGACGGGGGUCCGCACAAGCGGUGGAACAUGUGGUUUAAUUCGAUACUACGCGAGGAACCUUACCUAGGCUUGACAUGCUUGUGACAGCUGUAGAAAUACAGUCUUUUUGGCUUCGGUCAAGACACAUGCACAGGUGCUGCAUGGCUGUCGUCAGCUCGUGUCGUGAGAUGUUGGGUUAAGUCCUUUAACGAGCGCAACCCUUGCCGCCAGUUGCUAUCCAUGAAAGUGGAGCACUCUGGUGGGACUGCCUGGGAAACCAGGAGGAAGGUGGGGAUGACGUCAAGUCCGCAUGGUCCUUAUGCCUAGGGCAACACACGUGUUACAAUGGCCAGCACAGAGGGUCGCAAUUCCGCAAGGAGGAGCCAAUCCCUAAAUCUGGUCUAAGUUCGGAUUGAGGUCUGCAACUCGACCUCAUGAAGUUGAAAUCGCUAGUAAUCGCGUAUCAGAACGACGCGGUGAAUACGUUCUCGGGCCUUGCACACACCGCCCGU
Molecule: ribosomal RNA, 504 nt
Filed under: uncultured bacterium
Lineage: Bacteria
Description: partial 16S ribosomal RNA
Rfam family: Bacterial small subunit ribosomal RNA
Source: RNAcentral